Molecule: ribosomal RNA, 440 nt
Filed under: uncultured bacterium
Lineage: Bacteria
Description: partial 16S ribosomal RNA
Rfam family: Bacterial small subunit ribosomal RNA
Source: RNAcentral
CCUACGGGAGGCAGCAGUGGGGAAUAUUGCACAAUGGGGGAAACCCUGAUGCAGCGACGCCGCGUGAGUGAAGAAGGAUUUCGGUAUGUAAAGCUCUAUCAGCAGGGAAGAAAAUGACGGUACCUGAUUAAGAAGCCCCGGCUAACUAAGUGCCAGCAGCCGCGGUAAUACGUAGGGGGCAAGCGUUAUCCGGAUUUACUGGGUGUAAAGGGAGCGUAGACGGCAGCGCAAGUCUGAAGUGAAAUGCCGGGGCUUAACCCCGGAACUGCUUUGGAAACUGUGCAGCUAGAGUGCAGGAGAGGUAAGUGGAAUUCCUAGUGUAGCGGUGAAAUGCGUAGAUAUUAGGAGGAACACCAGUGGCGAAGGCGGAUUACUGGACUGUAACUGACGCUGAGGAGCGAAAGCGUGGGUAGCAAACAGGAUUAGAUACCCCAGUAGUC